AUGAAUGAGCUUUACGCACUUCGUCUUUUAUUGUGAUGCAUAUAUGCACAUUCCUAUAUGUAAAUUGUGAAAUAAAGUUAAGUGAUAAUUUAAAAGUUAAUUAAAUUGUUUUGUAAUUGUGCAAAAACAUGUUUUAAGAAGCUUUUCUUCAAUUCCAGUUCUGCAGGAAUUUUGGUUGCAAGAAUGUGGAUAUAAAACAUUUUUGAGAUUAUCAUUAUAAGCUGCGUUGCAGCUGAUUUUUAGAAAAUUGGAACUUUUUCAGUGGAUAUAUAUUCUUGAUGUAAGUGAAAGAGUUUUCAAGAUAGUUGCAAAAGGAAAUUUUUUAAAAAUUUAUUGGCAAAUAAAUAUUCAUUCAACAUGAACUAGAAAGGCAAAGGAAUUAUUAUUACUCCUUCAAUUGACGACCCUAUUAUGGACCUCUUAUUUUUUCUACACUUCUAUAAUAGCGUGUAAUUUCCUUAAAAUUGUUUUUCGAUUUCUUAUUUAAAUGUAACAACAAUUUGUUUGCAUUUUUUAAGUAUCUAUUUUUUUAACUGAAUUAUUUUUUCAAUUUAACCAAGUUUGUGAUUUAAUUUGCGUAUUUUCAAAAUUAUCUCUGCUCUCUAAAUCUGAAUUGAUCUGAAUAUGUGAAAAUUCACAUUUUUCUAAGUUAUAAGUCGCUCUAUUGUUCAAUAAGUACAUAUACACUUGUAAUAAGUGAAAUUUCCCACAAAAUAAGUGAAAAAUCCACUUAUUUAUAAAUGUAUAUGCACUUAUUAAUAGAGAAGACGACUUAUAACACACACAGUAAAAAGUAAAUAUUAAUUCAAGGCCAGCCUUAAAUUCAGCACUGGCUUCUAUAAUGUUAAAUCAUACAAAAUUCAUGCGUAAAUUCAGCAUUAACUGUCUUAAAAAUGUUGCAUCGUAAUUUAAGACUACUUUGCUGUCUUAAAAUAAUACUUUCUUCUUACUGUGUGUAAUAAGUGAAAUUGCACAUAAUUAUUCAGAUUUAGAGAGUAUGUUUUUAAAAUUGCUAGUCAGUAUUUUUCAACUUCUAUAAUAAAUAACAAUAAAUUCAAUUAAUUUCUUUUAUAACAUUUUUAUAAUUAUUAAUCUUUAAAAAUAUUCAUCUAUUCUUUCUGAUUCCUCAUGGAUCAUACUCGUUAUCGACAAACAAGACAACUAUAAGAACAUAAGGUAAUGCUCAGCUUUGUAAAUCACUACUGUGAAUGUAAAAUAAAUCACAUUGCUAUUCGUACUAAAAAUUAAAGAUAUAUGUAACACUGAAAAAGCAAUAAAGUGGAAGCUUGAUUAUACCAAAAGAAAA
This is a long non-coding RNA of Leptopilina heterotoma, 1306 nucleotides long. RefSeq lists it as uncharacterized. The transcript has 3 exons. NCBI's taxonomy places the organism in Eukaryota, Metazoa, Arthropoda, Insecta, Hymenoptera, Figitidae. The record is from RefSeq and is a predicted model, not a curated record.